RNAcentral lists this small RNA (248 nucleotides) under Pan troglodytes (chimpanzee). RNAcentral describes it as "processed transcript". The record is from RNAcentral. Lineage: Eukaryota; Metazoa; Chordata; Mammalia; Primates; Hominidae.
AGCGAGCCCGGCACCCAGCUGUCGUCCACUUGCGUUUAGUGUAGCUGCCACCCAGCAAUUAACGCGCCUGGGCUCUCCUUUGGAAACCGAGCAGAGAAGAACAAUACCACAGCGAGUUCAACUGGACCAGAAAGCAGGUCCUUGAAAAGGAUGCAAGAAAAAAGGAAAAAAAAAUCCACAGCAGCCUGCAGUGAUUGAAGUUCAAUGGCGUACUCUAUUAUCUUCUCCUGUAUGUUUAAAUAAACCCC